Small nuclear RNA from Anopheles darlingi, 158 nucleotides. It matches the Rfam family "U12 minor spliceosomal RNA". From Rfam's summary of the family: Although the U12 sequence is very divergent from that of U2, the two are functionally analogous. The record is from Rfam. Lineage: Eukaryota; Metazoa; Arthropoda; Insecta; Diptera; Culicidae.
GUGCCUUAAACUAAUGAGUAAGGAAAAUUACGGGCCUUGGUGACGCUUGGCCUGUCCGCACUCCGGUGCGGGCAUCUGACAAUUUUUGAAGAGGACAAGAUCGUCCCUUGAGCGUCCUGCCUACUUUGCAGGAUGCUCGGGUGCUUGCGAUCUACCUC